UGGGGAAUUUUGCACAAUGGGCGAAAGCCUGAUGCAGCAACGCCGCGUGCGGGAUGAAGGCCCUCGGGUUGUAAACCGCUUUCAGCAGGGACGAAUAUGACGGUACCUGCAGAAGAAGCCCCGGCUAACUACGUGCCAGCAGCCGCGGUAAUACGUAGGGGGCAAGCGUUAUCCGGAUUCAUUGGGCGUAAAGAGCGCGUAGGCGGACUGUUAAGUCAGAUGUGAAAACCGGGGGCUCAACCCGCGGCCUGCAUCUGAAACUGGCAGUCGUGAGGCGUGGAGAGGAGAGUGGAAGUCCUGGUGGAGCGGUGAAAUGCGCAGAGAGCAGGAGGAACACCAGUGGCGAAGGCGGCUGUCUGGGCCACGA
RNAcentral lists this ribosomal RNA (367 nucleotides) under uncultured bacterium. Its description in RNAcentral is "bacterial SSU rRNA". It matches the Rfam family "Bacterial small subunit ribosomal RNA", at positions 355 to 738 of the family's 1533-position model. The record is from RNAcentral.